Molecule: ribosomal RNA, 450 nt
Filed under: uncultured bacterium
Lineage: Bacteria
Description: partial 16S ribosomal RNA
Rfam family: Bacterial small subunit ribosomal RNA
Source: RNAcentral
GUGGGGAAUUUUGGACAAUGGGCGCAAGCCUGAUCCAGCAAUGCCGCGUGCAGGAAGAAGGCCUUCGGGUUGUAAACUGCUUUUGUACGGAACGAAACGGCUCUGGUUAAUACCCGGGGCUAAUGACGGUACCGUAAGAAUAAGCACCGGCUAACUACGUGCCAGCAGCCGCGGUAAUACGUAGGGUGCAAGCGUUAAUCGGAAUUACUGGGCGUAAAGCGUGCGCAGGCGGUUUUGUAAGACAGGCGUGAAAUCCCCGGGCUCAACCUGGGGAUGGCGCUUGUGACUGCAAAGCUGGAGUGCGGCAGAGGUGGAUGGAAUUCCGCGUGUAGCAGUGAAAUGCGUAGAUAUGCGGAGGAACACCGAUGGCGAAGGCAAUCCCCUGGGCCUGCACUGACGCUCAUGCACGAAAGCGUGGGGAGCAAACAGGAUUAGAAACCCGAGUAGUCC